This 72-nucleotide transfer RNA is filed under the name Mycosarcoma maydis (corn smut). RNAcentral's name for it is "Ustilago maydis tRNA-Leu". Lineage: Eukaryota; Fungi; Basidiomycota; Ustilaginomycetes; Ustilaginales. The record is from RNAcentral.
UUAGUUAUAGCAUGAUGGUAAUGUCUAAUAUUUAGGAUAUUCUUUAUGAGAGUUUUAAUCUAUUUAUUUAUA